AGAGUUUGAUCCUGGCUCAGGAUGAACGCUAGCUACAGGCUUAACACAUGCAAGUCGAGGGGAAACGACAUCGAAAGCUUGCUUUUGAUGGGCGUCGACCGGCGCACGGGUGAGUAACGCGUAUCCAACCUGCCCAUCACUUGGGGAUAACCUUGCGAAAGUAAGACUAAUACCCAAUGACGUCUCUAGAAGACAUCUGAAAGAGAUUAAAGAUUAUCGGUGAUGGAUGGGGAGUGCGUCUGAUUAGCUUGUUGGCGGGGUAACGGGCCCACCAAGGCGACGAUCAGUAGGGGUUCUGAGAGGAAGGUCCCCGACAUUGGAACUGAGACACGGUCCAAACUCCUACGGGAGGCA
Molecule: ribosomal RNA, 354 nt
Filed under: uncultured bacterium
Lineage: Bacteria
Description: bacterial SSU rRNA
Rfam family: Bacterial small subunit ribosomal RNA
Source: RNAcentral